GUGCUUGGCGGGUGCUAUACAUGCAGUCGAGCGAAUGGAUUAAGAGCUUGCUCUUAUGAAGUUAGCGGCGGACGGGUGAGUAACACGUGGGUAACCUGCCCAUAAGACUGGGAUAACUCCGGGAAACCGGGGCUAAUACCGGAUAACAUUUUGAACCGCAUGGUUCGAAAUUGAAAGGCGGCUUCGGCUGUCACUUAUGGAUGGACCCGCGUCGCAUUAGCUAGUUGGUGAGGUAACGGCUCACCAAGGCAACGAUGCGUAGCCGACCUGAGAGGGUGAUCGGCCACACUGGGACUGAGACACGGCCCAGACUCCUACGGGAGGCAGCAGUAGGGAAUCUUCCGCAAUGGACGAAAGUCUGACGGAGCAACGCCGCGUGAGUGAUGAAGGCUUUCGGGUCGUAAAACUCUGUUGUUAGGGAAGAACAAGUGCUAGUUGAAUAAGCUGGCACCUUGACGGUACCUAACCAGAAAGCCACGGCUAACUACAUGCCAGCAGCCGCGGUAAAA
RNAcentral lists this ribosomal RNA (509 nucleotides) under Bacillus cereus. RNAcentral's name for it is "bacterial SSU rRNA". It matches the Rfam family "Bacterial small subunit ribosomal RNA", at positions 37 to 525 of the family's 1533-position model. The record is from RNAcentral. Lineage: Bacteria; Bacillati; Bacillota; Bacilli; Caryophanales; Bacillaceae.